This 1222-nucleotide ribosomal RNA is filed under the name uncultured bacterium. Its description in RNAcentral is "partial 16S ribosomal RNA". It matches the Rfam family "Bacterial small subunit ribosomal RNA", at positions 31 to 1277 of the family's 1533-position model. The record is from RNAcentral.
GGAAAAUUGCGGAAGCUUACAAUGCAAGUCGAACGGCAGCACGGGGGCAACCCUGGUGGCGAGUGGCGAACGGGUGAGUAACAUAUCGGAACGUGCCCUGGAGUGGGGGAUAACUAGUCGAAAGAUUAGCUAAUACCGCAUACGAUCUACGGAUGAAAGUGGGGGAUCGCAAGACCUCAUGCUCGUGGAGCGGCCGAUAUCUGAUUAGCUAGUUGGUGGGGUAAAGGCCUACCAAGGCAUCGAUCAGUAGCUGGUCUGAGAGGACGACCAGCCACACUGGGACUGAGACACGGCCCAGACUCCUACGGGAGGCAGCAGUGGGGAAUUUUGGACAAUGGGCGCAAGCCUGAUCCAGCAAUGCCGCGUGAGUGAAGAAGGCCUUCGGGUUGUAAAGCUCUUUUGUCAGGGAAGAAACGGUUCGGGUUAAUACCUUGGGCUAAUGACGGUACCUGAAGAAUAAGCACCGGCUAACUACGUGCCAGCAGCCGCGGUAAUACGUAGGGUGCAAGCGUUAAUCGGAAUUACUGGGCGUAAAGCGUGCGCAGGCGGUUGUGCAAGACAGAUGUGAAAUCCCCGGGCUCAACCUGGGAAUUGCAUUUGUGACUGUACGGCUAGAGUGUGUCAGAGGGGGGUAGAAUUCCACGUGUAGCAGUGAAAUGCGUAGAGAUGUGGAGGAAUACCGAUGGCGAAGGCAGCCCCCUGGGAUAACACUGACGCUCAUGCACGAAAGCGUGGGGAGCAAACAGGAUUAGAUACCCUGGUAGUCCACGCCCUAAACGAUGUCUACUAGUUGUCGGGUCUUUAUUGACUUGGUAACGCAGCUAACGCGUGAAGUAGACCGCCUGGGGAGUACGGUCGCAAGAUUAAAACUCAAAGGAAUUGACGGGGACCCGCACAAGCGGUGGAUGAUGUGGAUUAAUUCGAUGCAACGCGAAAAACCUUACCUACCCUUGACAUGGUCGGAAGCCCUCGAGAGAUUGAGGCGUGCUCGAAAGAGAGCCGAUACACAGGUGCUGCAUGGCCUGUCGUCAGCUCGUGUCGUGAGAUGUUGGGUUAAGUCCCGCACGAGCGCAAACCUGUCAUUAGUGCUACAUUAGUGGGCACCUCUAAUGAGACUGCGGUGACAACCGGAGAGGUGGGAUGACGUCAGUCUCAUGGCCUUACGAUAGGCUUCAACGUCCAUACAAUGGUACAUUACCAGAGGGGUCGCCCAUAAUCCUCG